RNAcentral lists this ribosomal RNA (504 nucleotides) under uncultured bacterium. Its description in RNAcentral is "partial 16S ribosomal RNA". It matches the Rfam family "Bacterial small subunit ribosomal RNA", at positions 29 to 523 of the family's 1533-position model. The record is from RNAcentral.
AUUGAACGCUGGCGGCAGGCCUAACACAUGCAAGUCGAACGGUAGCACAGAGAGCUUGCUCUCGGGUGACGAGUGGCGGACGGGUGAGUAACGUCUGGGAAACUGCCCGAUGGAGGGGGAUAACUACUGGAAACGGUAGCUAAUACCGCAUAACGUCGCAAGACCAAAGUGGGGGACCUUCGGGCCUCACACCAUCGGAUGUGCCCAGAUGGGAUUAGCUAGUAGGUGGGGUAAUGGCUCACCUAGGCGACGAUCCCUAGCUGGUCUGAGAGGAUGACCAGCCACACGGGAACUGAGACACGGGCCAGACUCCUACGGGAGGCAGCAGUGGGGAAUAUUGCACAAUGGGCGCAAGCCUGAUGCAGCCAUGCCGCGUGUAUGAAGAAGCCCUUCGGGUUGUAAAGUACUUUCAGCGGGGAGGAAGGCGGUGAAGUUAAUAGCUUCACCGAUUGACGUUACCCGCAGAAGAAGCACCGGCUAACUCCGUGCCAGCCGCCGCAGUAA